This 456-nucleotide ribosomal RNA is filed under the name Gemella morbillorum. RNAcentral's name for it is "bacterial SSU rRNA". It matches the Rfam family "Bacterial small subunit ribosomal RNA", at positions 28 to 471 of the family's 1533-position model. Lineage: Bacteria; Bacillati; Bacillota; Bacilli; Caryophanales; Gemellaceae. The record is from RNAcentral.
GACGAACGCUGGCGGCGUGCCUAAUACAUGCAAGUCGAGCGAAGUUUUUCUGGUGCUUGCACUAGAAAAACUUAGCGGCGAACGGGUGAGUAACACGUAAAGAACCUGCCUCAUAGACUGGGACAACUAUUGGAAACGAUAGCUAAUACCGGAUAACAGUAUUUCUCGCAUGAGAGAUAUUUAAAAGUUGGUUAUGCUAACACUAUGAGAUGGCUUUGCGGUGCAUUAGCUAGUUGGUGGGGUAAAGGCCCACCAAGGCGACGAUGCAUAGCCGACCUGAGAGGGUGAUCGGCCACACUGGGACUGAGACACGGCCCAGACUCCUACGGGAGGCAGCAGUAGGGAAUCUUCCGCAAUGGGCGAAAGCCUGACGGAGCAACGCCGCGUGAGUGAAGAAGGAUUUCGGUUCGUAAAGCUCUGUUGUUAGGGAAGAAUGGAUAUGUAGUAACUAUACAU